This 568-nucleotide ribosomal RNA is filed under the name uncultured Mesonia sp. RNAcentral's name for it is "bacterial SSU rRNA". It matches the Rfam family "Bacterial small subunit ribosomal RNA", at positions 339 to 905 of the family's 1533-position model. Lineage: Bacteria; Pseudomonadati; Bacteroidota; Flavobacteriia; Flavobacteriales; Flavobacteriaceae. The record is from RNAcentral.
CUACGGGAGGCAGCAGUGAGGAAUAUUGGACAAUGGAGGCAACUCUGAUCCAGCCAUGCCGCGUGCAGGAAGACUGCCCUAUGGGUUGUAAACUGCUUUUAUAGAGGAAGAAACCUCCCUACGUGUAGGGAGCUGACGGUACUCUACGAAUAAGGAUCGGCUAACUCCGUGCCAGCAGCCGCGGUAAUACGGAGGAUCCAAGCGUUAUCCGGAAUCAUUGGGUUUAAAGGGUCCGUAGGCGGGCAGUUAAGUCAGUGGUGAAAGUCUUCCGCUCAACGGGAGAAUUGCCAUUGAUACUGAUUGUCUUGAGUCAUUAUGAAGUGGUUAGAAUGAGUAGUGUAGCGGUGAAAUGCAUAGAUAUUACUCAGAAUACCGAUUGCGAAGGCAGAUCACUAAUAAUGUACUGACGCUGAUGGACGAAAGCGUAGGUAGCGAACAGGAUUAGAUACCCUGGUAGUCUACGCCGUAAACGAUGGUUACUAGCUGUUUGGACGAUUGAGUCUGAGUGGCUAAGCGAAAGUGAUAAGUAACCCACCUGGGGAGUACGUUCGCAAGAAUGAAACUCAAG